UACGUAGGGUGCGAGCGUUGUCCGGAAUUAUUGGGCGUAAAGGGCUCGUAGGCGGUCUGUCACGUCGAAAGUGAAAACUCAGGGCUUAACCCUGAGCCUGCUUCCGAUACGGGCAGACUAGAGGUAUGCAGGGGAGAAUGGAAUUCCUGGUGUAGCGGUGAAAUGCGCAGAUAUCGGGAGGAACACCGGUGGCGAAGGCGGUUCUCUGGGCCUGUACUGACGCUGAGGAGCGAAAGCGUGGGGAGCGAACAGG
RNAcentral lists this ribosomal RNA (253 nucleotides) under uncultured bacterium. RNAcentral's name for it is "partial 16S ribosomal RNA". It matches the Rfam family "Bacterial small subunit ribosomal RNA", at positions 524 to 776 of the family's 1533-position model. The record is from RNAcentral.